GCGGACGUAGCUCAGUUGGUAGAGCGCCAGGUUGUGGUCUUGGAUGUCGUGGGUUCGAGACCCAUCGUUCGCCCCA
RNAcentral lists this transfer RNA (76 nucleotides) under Acetobacteraceae bacterium. Its description in RNAcentral is "tRNA-His". It matches the Rfam family "tRNA". Rfam says of the family: Transfer RNA (tRNA) molecules are approximately 80 nucleotides in length. Their secondary structure includes four short double-helical elements and three loops (D, anti-codon, and T loops). The record is from RNAcentral. Lineage: Bacteria; Pseudomonadati; Pseudomonadota; Alphaproteobacteria; Acetobacterales; Acetobacteraceae. RNAcentral also lists the same sequence under 1 other name.